UACGUAGGGAGCAAGCGUUGUCCGGAAUCAUUGGGCGUAAAGCGCGCGUAGGUGGCCUCGUAAGUCCGCUGUGAAAGUCAAAGGCUCAACCUUUGAAAGCCGGUGGAUACUGUGAGGCUAGAGUACGGAAGAGGCGAGUGGAAUUCCUGGUGUAGCGGUGGAAUGCGCAGAUAUCAGGAGGAACACCGGUGGCGAAGGCGGGUCUCUGGGCCAAAACUGACGCUGAGGAGCGAAAGCGUGGGGAGCGAACAGG
This 253-nucleotide ribosomal RNA is filed under the name uncultured bacterium. RNAcentral's name for it is "partial 16S ribosomal RNA". It matches the Rfam family "Bacterial small subunit ribosomal RNA", at positions 524 to 776 of the family's 1533-position model. The record is from RNAcentral.